Molecule: ribosomal RNA, 305 nt
Filed under: uncultured bacterium
Lineage: Bacteria
Description: bacterial SSU rRNA
Rfam family: Bacterial small subunit ribosomal RNA
Source: RNAcentral
UUACCUACGGGACGCAGCAGUGAGGAAUAUUGGUCAAUGGACGAGAGUCUGAACCAGCCAAGUAGCGUGAAGGAUGACUGCCCUAUGGGUUGUAAACUUCUUUUGUCAGGGAGCAAUUGGGUCCACGCGUGGGCUUAGCGAGAGUACCUGAAGAAAAAGCAUCGGCUAACUCCGUGCCAGCAGCCGCGGUAAUACGGAGGAUGCGAGCGUUAUCCGGAUUUAUUGGGUUUAAAGGGUGCGUAGGCGGAAUAUCAAGUCAGCGGUAAAAAUUCGGGGCUCAACCCCGUCGUGCCGUUGAAACUGAU